Long non-coding RNA from Teleopsis dalmanni, 243 nucleotides. RefSeq lists it as uncharacterized. NCBI's taxonomy places the organism in Eukaryota, Metazoa, Arthropoda, Insecta, Diptera, Diopsidae. The record is from RefSeq and is a predicted model, not a curated record. The transcript has 3 exons.
UGUAUUUUAAAAUACAAAAAUUUUAAUACCAGUUAUUGAUCCACUUUUGCACUUUACUAGCAAAACAUCUCUGUAUUAUGACCUGGAUUUCUAAGUUCCUUCGUUCAGUGAUAUAAAGGUAAAUCAAAUUCCGCAGAUUGAAAAUAUAUACUUUGAAGUUCCUUCAAUUCUUUCAAUUUAAAGCAUUAAGGAUCGCCCAUUGUGUUGUGACUAUAUCUACUAAGAUUUUAUUUUUGUUGCUAA